GGCUCAGGACGAACGCUGGCGGCGUGCUUAACACAUGCAAGUCGAACGGAAAGGCCCUUCGGGGUACUCGAGUGGCGAACGGGUGAGUAACACGUGGGUGAUCUGCCCUGCACUUCGGGAUAAGCCUGGGAAACUGGGUCUAAUACCGGAUAUGAUCAUCGGCUUCAUGGUCGGUGGUGGAAAGCUUUUGCGGUGUGGGAUGGGCCCGCGGCCUAUCAGCUUGUUGGUGGGGUAAUGGCCUACCAAGGCGUCGACGGGUAGCCGGCCUGAGAGGGUGUCCGGCCACACUGGGACUGAGAUACGGCCCAGACUCCUACGGGAGGCAGCAGUGGGGAAUAUUGCACAAUGGGCGCAAGCCUGAUGCAGCGACGCCGCGUGGGGGAUGACGGCCUUCGGGUUGUAAACCUCUUUCAGCACAGACGAAGCGCAAGUGACGGUAUGUGCAGAAGAAGCACCGGCCAACUACGUGCCAGCAGCCGCGGUAAUACGUAGGGUGCGAGCGUUGUCCGGAAUUACUGGGCGUAAAGAGCUUGUAGGUGGUUUGUCGCGUUGUUCGUGAAAUCUCACGGCUUAACUGUGAGCGUGCGGGCGAUACGGGCAGACUAGAGUACUGCAGGGGAGACUGGAAUUCCUGGUGUAGCGGUGGAAUGCGCAGAUAUCAGGAGGAACACCGGUGGCGAAGGCGGGUCUCUGGGCAGUAACUGACGCUGAGAAGCGAAAGCGUGGGGAGCGAACAGGAUUAGAUACCCUGGUAGUCCACGCCGUAAACGGUGGGUACUAGGUGUGGGUUUCCUUCCUUGGGAUCCGUGCCGUAGCUAACGCAUUAAGUACCCCGCCUGGGGAGUACGGCCGCAAGGCUAAAACUCAAAGGAAUUGACGGGGGCCCGCACAAGCGGCGGAGCAUGUGGAUUAAUUCGAUGCAACGCGAAGAACCUUACCUGGGCUUGACAUGCACUAGAAACACCUAGAGAUAGGUGCCCCCUUGUGGUUGGUGUGCAGGUGGUGCAUGGCUGUCGUCAGCUCGUGUCGUGAGAUGUUGGGUUAAGUCCCGCAACGAGCGCAACCCUUGUCUCAUGUUGCCAGCACGUAAUGGUGGGGACUCGUGAGAGACUGCCGGGGUCAACUCGGAGGAAGGUGGGGAUGACGUCAAGUCAUCAUGCCCCUUAUGUCCAGGGCUUCACACAUGCUACAAUGGCCGGUACAAAGGGCUGCGAUGCCGUGAGGUGGAGCGAAUCCUUUCAAAGCCGGUCUCAGUUCGGAUCGGGGUCUGCAACUCGACCCCGUGAAGUCGGAGUCGCUAGUAAUCGCAGAUCAGCAACGCUGCGGUGAAUACGUUCCCGGGCCUUGUACACACCGCCCGUCACGUCAUGAAAGUCGGUAACACCCGAAGCCGGUGGUCUAACCCCUCGUGGGAGGGAGCCGUCGAA
Molecule: ribosomal RNA, 1427 nt
Filed under: Mycobacterium sp. Sco-B08
Lineage: Bacteria; Bacillati; Actinomycetota; Actinomycetes; Mycobacteriales; Mycobacteriaceae
Description: bacterial SSU rRNA
Rfam family: Bacterial small subunit ribosomal RNA
Source: RNAcentral